GUGACUGUUCUUCCCUUGCCAUACCUCAAGUCGCUGCAUUUUGGCUGCUGUCUGUAGAUUCCUUCAUGCACCACUCGUAUUCUUUCGGCUGUGUUAACAACGGCGAUG
Long non-coding RNA from Etheostoma spectabile (orangethroat darter), 108 nucleotides. RefSeq lists it as uncharacterized. The transcript is spliced from 3 exons. The record is from RefSeq and is a predicted model, not a curated record. NCBI's taxonomy places the organism in Eukaryota, Metazoa, Chordata, Actinopteri, Perciformes, Percidae.